This 568-nucleotide ribosomal RNA is filed under the name Vibrio parahaemolyticus. RNAcentral's name for it is "bacterial SSU rRNA". It matches the Rfam family "Bacterial small subunit ribosomal RNA", at positions 490 to 1243 of the family's 1533-position model. The record is from RNAcentral. Lineage: Bacteria; Pseudomonadati; Pseudomonadota; Gammaproteobacteria; Vibrionales; Vibrionaceae.
GCACCGGCUAACUCCGUGCCAGCAGCCGCGGUAAUACGGAGGGUGCGAGCGUUAAUCGGAAUUACUGGGCGUAAAGCGCAUGCAGGUGGUUUGUUAAGUCAGAUGUGAAAGCCCGGGGCUCAACCUCGGAAUUGCAUUUGAAACUGGCAGACUAGAGUACUGUAGAGGGGGGUAGAAUUUCAGGUGUAGCGGUGAAAUGCGUAGAGAUCUGAAGGAAUACCGGUGGCGAAGGCGGCCCCCUGGACAGAUACUGACACUUGGAGGUUGUGGCCUUGAGCCGUGGCUUUCGGAGCUAACGCGUUAAGUAGACCGCCUGGGGAGUACGGUCGCAAGAUUAAAACUCAAAUGAAUUGACGGGGGCCCGCACAAGCGGUGGAGCAUGUGGUUUAAUUCGAUGCAACGCGAAGAACCUUACCUACUCUUGACAUCCAGAGAACUUUCCAGAGCGAGUAAUGUCGGGAACUCCAGGGAGACUGCCGGUGAUAAACCGGAGGAAGGUGGGGACGACGUCAAGUCAUCAUGGCCCUUACGAGUAGGGCUACACACGUGCUACAAUGGCGCAUACAGA